AGGAGAGAGUACUGUCGAAGACGCUGUACGUAAUUUUUCUCGGGUUCCGCGACCCGAGUACCGGAUUUUUUUCCAUUUAACAUUUUAACAUUUUUCCGGGAGGGGUCCUGAAAAAUAAUAUGUAUUUAUAAUGUAUCGCUAUAUUAAUAGACGCCUCUUUGUUGGACGACAUUUGAUUGAAAUUAUAUCAGUAUCUGGGAGAGGGGGGACCCGGACCUCCUGGAUCCCCCUCGUAAAUCCGCCACUGUCCACGGCGUAUUAUUUAUUAAUUUCCUAGUCUGUCUGACCGCGCGUGACGUGACGAUUGACUACACGGAUAUUACUUUUGCGCGCCCCCUCGGGCCGGCCGGUUUUGAAACCAUAUAAUAAUCGUAUAGCGGGACUCG
This is a non-coding RNA of Cinara cedri, 386 nucleotides long. The record is from the annotation of a GenBank genome assembly. Lineage: Eukaryota; Metazoa; Arthropoda; Insecta; Hemiptera; Aphididae.